Non-coding RNA from Camellia sinensis, 946 nucleotides. The record is from RefSeq and is a predicted model, not a curated record. Lineage: Eukaryota; Viridiplantae; Streptophyta; Magnoliopsida; Ericales; Theaceae.
CGCGCCUGUUUUUCAGUCUUUUACCCUCUCUGUGUAUACACCACAACCACAAAACCUCUCUCUCAGCAAACCUCACCACCGCAAAUCAACAAACCUCACGGCGAUCAAACCUUACGACCGGGCAUCCUCACGAUCUCUCUCUCAGCACCGAAUGUCCAUCCUCUGGUGGUCUUCAACAUCUGUGACUGCUACAUCCGGCGACCCGACGAGGCCGAGCGGGUCAUCGGAACUCUUCUCGGCUCUGUCUUGCCCGACGGCACCGUCGAUAUUCGCAACUCUUGAGCUGUUCCUCACAAUGGGUCCUCUAAUCAGGUUGCACUGGAUGUAGACUAUCAUCAUAAUAUGCUACAAUCCCACCUGAAGGUGAACCCAAAAGAAGUCAUUGUUGGAUGGCAUGUACAAGCAAGAGUUCAUUUUCUAUGUGCAAGUGAAGGAGAGGUUGCAUAGUUCAGAUGAUUACCAGGCAUUCUUGAAGUGUCUUCAUAUUUACAGCACAGAAAUAAUCACAAAAAAAUAUUUACAAAGUUUGAUGACUUUGUUGCGUGGACUUCCAGAGAUAUUUUGGUGUAUGGAGAAGAAAUUGUAUUUUUGUAUAGAAGUAAUAUAAUACUUUUGUCAUCUUCGGCUUUUGUGCAGUUAACUAUUACUGAUAAAGAAAACUUUUGGUAGCGAACAGAUAAUUACUGGUAUGGUAGAUAGAUCACCUUUUGUCCCUGUACAGAUAUAUGAUUUUUUGUUGUGGUACAUAGAUGUACUUUUGGCUUGGUACAUGCAUCACCUUUUGUCGUGGUACAUAUUACGAUGGUAAUUUGUACUAUGCCAAAUGGUCAUUUCACAUGGUAUAGUAAAUGUAAUUUUUGUAUAUGGAGGACUUUACUUUUUGUAUAAUUCUAUAUGUUGUAUGGAAUUAUUAUAUUAGUUUGGACAAUAGUUGGUUUUUAUGUAC